RNAcentral lists this ribosomal RNA (444 nucleotides) under uncultured bacterium. RNAcentral's name for it is "partial 16S ribosomal RNA". It matches the Rfam family "Bacterial small subunit ribosomal RNA", at positions 354 to 796 of the family's 1533-position model. The record is from RNAcentral.
GUAGGGAAUAUUGGGCAAUGGUCGGAAGACUGACCCAGCCAUGCCGCGUGCAGGAAGACGGCCCUCUGGGUUGUAAACUGCUUUUAUCUGGGAAGAAAAAGGCCAUGCGUGGCAAAUUGCCGGUACCAGAUGAAUAAGCACCGGCUAACUCCGUGCCAGCAGCCGCGGUAAUACGGAGGGUGCGAGCGUUGUCCGGAUUUAUUGGGUUUAAAGGGUGCGUAGGCGGCUGAUUAAGUCAGCGGUGAAAGACUUCGGCUUAACCGGAGCAGUGCCGUUGAUACUGGUUGGCUUGGGUGUCGGAGGGGUACAUGGAAUUGAUGGUGUAGCGGUGAAAUGCAUAGAUACCAUCAGGAACACCGAUAGCGAAGGCAUUGUACUGGCCGACAACUGACGCUGAUGCACGAAAGUGUGGGGAUCGAACAGGAUUAGAAACCCCUGUAGUCC